Molecule: small nucleolar RNA, 107 nt
Filed under: Cephalotus follicularis
Lineage: Eukaryota; Viridiplantae; Streptophyta; Magnoliopsida; Oxalidales; Cephalotaceae
Description: Plant small nucleolar RNA R71
Rfam family: Plant small nucleolar RNA R71
About the family: R71 is a member of the C/D box family of snoRNAs containing the C (UGAUGA) and D (CUGA) box motifs. Multiple nearly identical copies of this snoRNA have been identified in Arabidopsis, and it is thought to function as a 2'-O-ribose methylation guide for 18S ribosomal RNA.
Source: Rfam by way of RNAcentral
AAACCGUGAUGUGGACACUCUAAGACAAAGUCUUUGAAAUGUUCCAUGCAUCAAGAAAAUGAUUCAUUGGGUCUUUGGUGAAACUAAAAAAUGUCAUUCCUAAGCUU